AGAGUUUGAUCCUGGCUCAGGACGAACGCUGGCGGCGUGCCUAAUACAUGCAAGUAGAACGCUGAAGAGAGGAGCUUGCUCUUCUUGGAUGAGUUGCGAACGGGUGAGUAACGCGUAGGUAACCUGCCUUGUAGCGGGGGAUAACUAUUGGAAACGAUAGCUAAUACCGCAUAACAAUGGAUGACACAUGUCAUUUAUUUGAAAGGGGCAAUUGUUCCACUACAAGAUGGACCUGCGUUGUAUUAGCUAGUAGGUGAGGUAAUGGCUCACCUAGGCGACGAUACAUAGCCGACCUGAGAGGGUGAUCGGCCACACUGGGACUGAGACGCGGCCCAGACUCCUACGGGAGGCAGCAGUAGGGAAUCUUCGGCAAUGGGGGCAACCCUGACCGAGCAACGCCGCGUGAGUGAAGAAGGUUUUCGGAUCGUAAAGCUCUGUUGUAAGUCAAGAACGGGUGUGAGAGUGGAAAGUUCACACUGUGACGGUAGCUUACCAGAAAGGGACGGCUAACUACGUGCCAGCAGCCGCGGUAAUACGUAGGUCCCGAGCGUUGUCCGGAUUUAUUGGGCGUAAAGCGAGCGCAGGCGGUUUGAUAAGUCUGAAGUUAAAGGCUGUGGCUCAACCAGAGUUCGCUUUGGAAACUGUCAAACUUGAGUGCAGAAGGGGAGAGUGGAAUUCCAUGUGUAGCGGUGAAAUGCGUAGAUAUAUGGAGGAACACCGGUGGCGAAAGCGGCUCUCUGGUCUGUAACUGACGCUGAGGCUCGAAAGCGUGGGGAGCGAACAGGAUUAGAUACCCUGGUAGUCCACGCCGUAAACGAUGAGUGCUAGGUGUUGGAUCCUUUCCGGGAUUCAGUGCCGCAGCUAACGCAUUAAGCACUCCGCCUGGGGAGUACGACCGCAAGGUUGAAACUCAAAGGAAUUGACGGGGGCCCGCACAAGCGGUGGAGCAUGUGGUUUAAUUCGAAGCAACGCGAAGAACCUUACCAGGUCUUGACAUCCCGAUGCUAUUUCUAGAGAUAGAAAGUUACUUCGGUACAUCGGUGACAGGUGGUGCAUGGUUGUCGUCAGCUCGUGUCGUGAGAUGUUGGGUUAAGUCCCGCAACGAGCGCAACCCCUAUUGUUAGUUGCCAUCAUUCAGUUGGGCACUCUAGCGAGACUGCCGGUAAUAAACCGGAGGAAGGUGGGGAUGACGUCAAAUCAUCAUGCCCCUUAUGACCUGGGCUACACACGUGCUACAAUGGUUGGUACAACGAGUUGCGAGUCGGUGACGGCGAGCUAAUCUCUUAAAGCCAAUCUCAGUUCGGAUUGUAGGCUGCAACUCGCCUACAUGAAGUCGGAAUCGCUAGUAAUCGCGGAUCAGCACGCCGCGGUGAAUACGUUCCCGGGCCUUGUACACACCGCCCGUCACACCACGAGAGUUUGUAACACCCGAAGUCGGUGAGGUAACCUUUUGGAGCCAGCCGCCUAAGGUGGGACAGAUGAUUGGGGUGAAGUCGUAACAAGGUA
RNAcentral lists this ribosomal RNA (1506 nucleotides) under metagenome. RNAcentral describes it as "bacterial SSU rRNA". It matches the Rfam family "Bacterial small subunit ribosomal RNA". The record is from RNAcentral.